GACAUAUUAAUUAAUAACUUCAUAAACAAAAUUUGAGUAUCAGCAUAAUUAUUUGUGUCUUUUAAAAUUAGGUUUGAAAAGCAUCCAUUAUAUGUGUUAAAUGAACUCAAACUUUUCACAUUUUGUUUCCUAAUUUCAAGCACUCUUUGGCAAACUAAUCAGUAAGAGUUUUGGUCAUAAAUUAAAGUGUAGGUAAACUGAUAGUUGCUUCAUUUAUAAACUAACCCCAUUUCCUAAUCUUAACAAUAUCCUGUGGGUUGACAAGAAUCCACGCCUAAAAACUAUCUAAGCUGAUAAAAAUGGGUAUUCAAUAGGUUUUAUGUACUAACUACAACCUGACAAAC
RNAcentral lists this long non-coding RNA (344 nucleotides) under Mytilus galloprovincialis (Mediterranean mussel). The record is from RNAcentral. Lineage: Eukaryota; Metazoa; Mollusca; Bivalvia; Mytilida; Mytilidae.